Molecule: unclassified non-coding RNA, 241 nt
Filed under: uncultured fungus
Lineage: Eukaryota; Fungi
Description: sequence contains ITS1
Source: RNAcentral
GUUUUAGUUUUAUAAUUAUAUUAUAAAAGUUCAGACAAUAAAAAAUUAUAGGCAUGGGUCAGACAGGAACCAUUUCCACGGCCUCAUGACAAGGCCGCGAAGACAGAACCCUACGGCAAGGGCCCCCUUUUUUAAUAAAAAAAAGGAAAGCCCUACCGGUGUGGAUACGGAUUUUUAGAAAAUGCCCGUAUGGAAUUCGAACAAUUCUAUAAUGAUCCUUCCGCAGGUUCACCUACGGAAA